Molecule: ribosomal RNA, 476 nt
Filed under: uncultured bacterium
Lineage: Bacteria
Description: bacterial SSU rRNA
Rfam family: Bacterial small subunit ribosomal RNA
Source: RNAcentral
GAUGAACGCUAGCGGCAGGCUUAACACAUGCAAGUCGAGGGGCAGCAUGAGACGGAGAUUCGUCAAAGUCUUGAUGGCGACCGGCGCAAGGGUGCGUAACGCGUGAGCAACUUGCCCGUUUCUGGGGAAUAACCGGUGGAAACGCCGACUAAUACCCCAUAGUAUGUCCGAGAGGCAUCUUUUGAGGUUGAAAGUUCCGGCGGUUAGAGAUGGACAUGCGUUGUAUUAGCUAGAUAGGUGAGGUAACGGCUCACCAUGGCGACGAUCAGUAGCCGGUCUGAGAGGAUGAACGGCCACAUUGGGACUGAGAUACGGCCCAGACUCCUACGGGAGGCAGCAGUGGGGAAUAUUGGGCAAUGGGCGAAAGCCUGACCCAGCAACGCCGCGUGAGGGAAGAAGGGUUUCGGCUCGGUAAACCUCUGUCCUAUGGACGAGAAGUGACGGUACCAUAGGAGGAAGCCCCGGNUAACUACGUG